Molecule: long non-coding RNA, 200 nt
Filed under: Actinidia chinensis (golden kiwifruit)
Lineage: Eukaryota; Viridiplantae; Streptophyta; Magnoliopsida; Ericales; Actinidiaceae
Description: long non-coding RNA (ACHI_LNC000438)
Source: RNAcentral
CGAGACUUGACAAGCUUUGGCGAGGGUAUGGUUAGCAGACCGCUAUCGCUGCCUCCACCGCCACUACGUACGUUAGUAUCAUCCACUGCAAAGCCAUUUCUUCUCUCUCUCUCUCUCUUUCUCUUGUCCUCGUCGUUCGCUGUAUAUACGUGCUUUGUUUGUGAGUUUGGGAAUUUGCUUAACAACGAAGCCCACGAAGG